GUGACCUCAAAUCAGGUAGGACUACCCGCUGAACUUAAGCAUAUCAAUAAGCGGGAGGAAAAGAAACUAACAAGGAUUCCCCUAGUAACUGCGAGUGAAGCGGGAAAAGCUCAAAUUUAAAAUCUGGCGGCCUUUUUGCUGUCCGAGUUGUAAUCUAGAGAAGUGUUAUCCGCGCUGGACCGUGUACAAGUCUCCUGGAAUGGAGCAUCAUAGAGGGUGAGAAUCCCGUCUUUGACAUGGACUACCAGGGC
Molecule: ribosomal RNA, 251 nt
Filed under: uncultured Cortinarius
Lineage: Eukaryota; Fungi; Basidiomycota; Agaricomycetes; Agaricales; Cortinariaceae
Description: partial 28S ribosomal RNA
Rfam family: Eukaryotic large subunit ribosomal RNA
Source: RNAcentral